Molecule: non-coding RNA, 89 nt
Organism: Curvularia clavata
Lineage: Eukaryota; Fungi; Ascomycota; Dothideomycetes; Pleosporales; Pleosporaceae
Source: the annotation of a GenBank genome assembly
GGUUGCAUAGUGUAGUGGUUAUCACUCCAGAUUUUGACUUUCUUCAAAUCAAAUUUCUGGUAACCCCGGUUCGAACCCGGGUGCGACCU